Molecule: ribosomal RNA, 807 nt
Filed under: uncultured bacterium
Lineage: Bacteria
Description: bacterial SSU rRNA
Rfam family: Bacterial small subunit ribosomal RNA
Source: RNAcentral
GAGUUGAUUCCUGGCUCAGGAUGAACUAUGGCGGCGUGCCUAAUACAUGCAAGUCGAGCGAAUGGAUUGAGAGCUUGCUCUCAAGAAGUUAGCGGCGGACGGGUGAGUAACACGUGGGUAACCUGCCCAUAAGACUGGGAUAACUCCGGGAAACCGGGGCUAAUACCGGAUAAUAUUUUGAACUGCAUGGUUCGAAAUUGAAAGGCGGCUUCGGCUGUCACUUAUGGAUGGACCCGCGUCGCAUUAGCUAGUUGGUGAGGUAACGGCUCACCAAGGCAACGAUGCGUAGCCGACCUGAGAGGGUGAUCGGCCACACUGGGACUGAGACACGGCCCAGACUCCUACGGGAGGCAGCAGUAGGGAAUCUUCCGCAAUGGACGAAAGUCUGACGGAGCAACGCCGCGUGAGUGAUGAAGGCUUUCGGGUCGUAAAACUCUGUUGUUAGGGAAGAACAAGUGCUAGCUGAAUAAGCUGGCACCUUGACGGUACCUAACCAGAAAGCCACGGCUAACUACGUGCCAGCAGCCGCGGUAAUACGUAGGUGGCAAGCGUUAUCCGGAAUUAUUGGGCGUAAAGCGCGCGCAGGUGGUUUAUUAAGUAUGAUGUGAAAGCCCACGGCUCAACCGUGGAGGGUCAUUGGAAACUGGGAGACUUGAGUGCAGAAGAGGAAAGUGGAAUUCCAUGUGUAGCGGUGAACAUGCGUAGAGAUAUGGAGGCACACCAGUGGCGAAGGCGACUUGAUGUGAUGCAACUGACACUGAGGCGCGAAAGCGUGGGGAGCACACAGGAUGAGGAACCCGGGGAGGC